Molecule: ribosomal RNA, 510 nt
Filed under: uncultured Glomeraceae
Lineage: Eukaryota; Fungi; Glomeromycota; Glomeromycetes; Glomerales; Glomeraceae
Description: SSU rRNA
Rfam family: Eukaryotic small subunit ribosomal RNA
Source: RNAcentral
AGCAGCCGCGGUAAUUCCAGCUCCAAUAGCGUAUAUUAAAGUUGUUGCAGUUAAAAAGCUCGUAGUUGAAUUUCGAGAUCAGUACGCUGGUCGUGCCUUCGGUAUGCACUGGUGUCACUGGUUUCUCCCUUCUGAAGAACCGUCAUGCCAUUCAGUUGGUGUGGCGGGGAAUCAGGACUGUUACUUUGAAAAAUUAGAGUGUUUAAAGCAGGCUCGCGCUUGAAUACAUUAGCAUGGAAUAAUGAAAUAGGACGUUUGACCCUAUUUUGUUGGUUUCUAGGAUCGACGUAAUGAUUAAUAGGGAUAGUUGGGGGCAUUAGUAUUCAAUUGUCAGAGGUGAAAUUCUUGGAUUUAUUGAAGACUAACUACUGCGAAAGCAUUUGCCAAGGAUGUUUUCAUUAAUCAAGAACGAAAGUUAGGGGAUCGAAGACGAUCAGAUACCGUCGUAGUCUUAACCAUAAACUAUGCCGACUAGGGAUCGGAUGAUGUUUAAUUUUUUAAUGUACUUCA